Long non-coding RNA from Perca flavescens (yellow perch), 613 nucleotides. RefSeq lists it as uncharacterized. Lineage: Eukaryota; Metazoa; Chordata; Actinopteri; Perciformes; Percidae. The record is from RefSeq and is a predicted model, not a curated record. The transcript has 3 exons.
AUUCCAGCUCGUCCGUCAUCACCCGCUUCGAAUGUUAUCAUUGGAUUGAAUGGGCGUUAUCAGUGGUUAUCAGCCUCAUAGAUAUGGGUCAGUAGGGGCCUGCUGCGCCUAUUGGUAAGCUCAGAAGGCUGUUAUCAUCCAUUCGCAUGGUUAAUCACGGAUAAAUACACGAGAAGACUCCAGAUCCAAUCCCAGAGCAAUCCAGGUCGCCGCUAACCGGAAGUCUGCUGGAUAACGGCAUAUGUAUACAUAGGUUGAAGAUGGCCCAGAGAGAGAGAACACAAAUUAAUGAAGAACAAAGGGAAACUUUGAAAACAUUUUUUGAGGAUGGAAUGACACGGGUUGGUUCCCCCCUCAUAUCAAGAGCUGCAUCAGAUACUGGUUUGGAAACCAAUGUCAUAGAAGUAAGGUUUACUUUAAUUCCACACUUACAAUCAACAUAUCAAAUAAAUACAUAAUUCUUCUGUACUGCUGGUAAAAAUCUAAAGUUUUUGUUAACAUCCCUUCUCUUCUCUGCUUAUCUUCAUAGUUGUCAGAUUUCUCUACCAACCCUUAUAGAGUUGGCUCAGGUUUGCCUUGGACCAGCUCUUAGUUAUGCUUUUAUAGUUUUAGA